This 465-nucleotide ribosomal RNA is filed under the name uncultured bacterium. Its description in RNAcentral is "partial 16S ribosomal RNA". It matches the Rfam family "Bacterial small subunit ribosomal RNA", at positions 339 to 795 of the family's 1533-position model. The record is from RNAcentral.
CUACGGGGUGCUCCAGUGGGGAAUAUUGGACAAUGGGGGGAACCCUGAUCCAGCCAUGCCGCGUGUGUGAAGAAGGCCUUUUGGUUGUAAAGCACUUUAAGCGAGGAGGAGGCUACCUAGAUUAAUACUUUAGGAUAGUGGACGUUACUCGCAGAAUAAGCACCGGCUAACUCUGUGCCAGCAGCCGCGGUAAUACAGAGGGUGCGAGCGUUAAUCGGAUUUACUGGGCGUAAAGCGUGCGUAGGCGGCCAAUUAAGUCAAAUGUGAAAUCCCCGAGCUUAACUUGGGAAUUGCAUUCGAUACUGGUUGGCUAGAGUAUGGGAGAGGAUGGUAGAAUUCCAGGUGUAGCGGUGAAAUGCGUAGAGAUCUGGAGGAAUACCGAUGGCGAAGGCAGCCAUCUGGCCUAAUACUGACGCUGAGGUACGAAAGCAUGGGGAGCAAACAGGAUUAGAUACCCCUGUAGUC